This is a long non-coding RNA of Scatophagus argus, 537 nucleotides long. RefSeq lists it as uncharacterized. The transcript has 4 exons. NCBI's taxonomy places the organism in Eukaryota, Metazoa, Chordata, Actinopteri, Scatophagidae. The record is from RefSeq and is a predicted model, not a curated record.
GUCAUCUCUUCCGGGUCGGAGGUCGUUUGGCCCGUCAGGUAUGUCCGCGUGCUGCUUUGUGUUUUCUUACUGCUCUUAAAGCGUCGUUGUUGUUCUUGUGUUGCAGGGCGACUGCUCGUGUGCGGCUCCGUUUGUUGGCUGAGGUAAACGCCGGUGGCUGCCAGGAGUCCUGUCCCUUUGUCCGCUCCUGCCUCCUGUUGUGUGAGGGUGUGUGUCCGCUAACAAGGUAAAGUGCUGCUCCACCUCCACUGUCGUUGGUCCCAGCUGAGCCUGGUUGUGCAGCGGUGUCACCUGUUUAUUUGUCUGCGCUUGGCACAGAACGGUGAUCUGUGUGGUAAGUCGAGGUGCUGCUAUGGCGGAGGCAGGAGCUGAGAGGCAGUUGCUCCUGGUGGUGUUUCCCCUCUCACUCACCAUAACUUGGUGUGGCAUGUGGUGAUUUGGUUUGUAGUGUCCUUGCCCUGCCUUUGUCUGUUUCCAAACUGUUUAUUUUGUCCCUCUGUAUUGUAAGUCAUUUGUAAUAAAUGAAUAUAAGCUAAA